This is a long non-coding RNA of Pan troglodytes (chimpanzee), 2836 nucleotides long. NCBI's taxonomy places the organism in Eukaryota, Metazoa, Chordata, Mammalia, Primates, Hominidae. The record is from Ensembl.
CCUCAGUGCUCUGUUUAUCUGAGGACUUUGACAUAGGAAUACUUAUGUGCUCUUUGGUUAACAUAGCACAGACUUUGUUUCAUGUAUUAUUUGGAGGGUUUUGAGGUGAGAACCUGAUUGUGUUAACAUGCUAGCAAGGCUUCAGAAGCAUUACUGAUUGCAAGUGCAUUAGAAGCUGUGGCAUGUUUAAGAUUUGUGAAGACUCACUGGGCGGCCCUGAAGUUACCUCCAGCUGUUUCUGUUGCAGGACUUUUUGUGUCAAAUAGAAAGGUACUGUAGGCAGUGCCAUUUGACCACACCGAUCAUGUUUCCCCCCGAGCACCCCGUGGAAGAGGUCGGUCGCUUGCUGUUACAUUGCUUCUUAAAACAUGAAGAUUUAGGUAAGGAGCUCAAUAUCUGUGUACUUUAGCUAGACUGCAGAUUCCUCGACUAACCUGUGGUACAUAUUCAUUCCUUCCCUGUCCUUCUUUUAAAUGUCUUUUUGCAGGUCAUGUGGCAUUAUCUUUAGUUCAUGCAGGUGCACUUGAUACUGAGCAAAUAAAGCACAGAACGUUGCCUAAGUCAGUGGUGGAUGUUUGUAGAGUUGUCUAACAAGCAAAAUGUUCGCUCAUUAAGACUCAUCAAGAACAGGGCCGUUCUUACAAGGAGGUCUGCACUCCUGUCAUCGAACGUUUGAGAUUCCUCUUUAAUGAAUUGAGACCUGCUGUUUGUAAUGACUUCUCCAUAAUCUCUAAGUUUAAAUUGUUAAGUUCUUUGCCCUGUUGGAGGAGGAUAGCUCAGAAGAUAAUUCGGGAACGGAGGAAAAAGAGAAGUAAGAAUGUAAAAGGACAGAAGAUACUAUUAAAGCAUGUGCUUCACCCUGCCUCGCUGGACCUGUGAUUUCAGAGUGAAGUUUCUCUACUGUUGAUUCCAUGUGACAUUUCUACCUGCUGCCAUCAUUUUUAUGUAUAGUUAUGAUUAAAUACGGAAAUCUCACUUAUUUUUUCAACCGAUCAGACAAUGAGGCAGUUUAGGAAUUGAGUGUGGUAUGAUUUGAUUACUAGUAAAUUGAUGUUGAAAACGUAAAUAAUCUUUGCUAAAUUGAUGGGAACAAGGAUGUAUUUUUAUUUUAUUAGUUAUACUGGUAAUGAGAUAUAAUGGGAACAUUUAAACUUAUUGCCAUUCUUCUAAAGAAAUGUUUUUUGUUUGGAAAUAUUGAGUAUUCUGAUACAUGGAGAAUUAUAAAGGGAAGCUGAAAGAGUUACUGACAUUUUCCUGGAAGUAGCUGUGUAAGAGUACAGAAAAGUCUUUUUGCAUUAAAUCCAAAUUUGAAUAAAAAUGCUUAGAAAUUAUAAAAUAGUUUAGAAUUUAGUCACUUGUGAUUAUACAUAAACUACAGAAAUUUCUGAUUAUAUCCUUUUUUUUUUCUUUGAGACGGGGUCUUGCUCUGUCGCCAGGCUGGAGUGCAGUGGUACAAUCUCAGCUCACUGCAACCUCCGCCUCCCAGGUUCAAAUGAUUCCCCUGCCUCAGCCUUCCAAGUAGCUGGGAUUACAGGCAUGCGCCACCACGCCUGAUUAAUUUUUGUAAUUUAGUAGAGACGGAGUUUCACCAUGUUGGCCAGGAUGAUCUUGAUCUCCUGACCUUGUUAUCUGCCUGCCUCGGCCUCCCAAAGUGCUGGGAUUACAGGCAUGAGCCACCCCGCCUGGCCUCUGAUCAUGUUCUUAUGACUUAUACUGAUUUACUCACAAACCUGCUUAUUGAACAGUAUUAAUUACUCAGUUUCUGAUGGGCAUUUUGAACAAUAAGCUUAUGAGAGACUAAAGCGUUUUAGAAGCCAUCCUAAUUUGAUUGUUCCUGAACAAACCCUACACCAUAACAGCCUGUCGGAAUCCGAUGGGUGCUCUGGAUCAGGAAGUCACAGCAGUCACACUGCUGCAAUUCCUUUAACCCAGGCAUGCAGGAACUCAGCCCGGGCCCAGGAGACAGGCCUGCCUCAGCACGAGGGAGAGAGACUCCACCAUUUGCCAUUUCAUAUCCAUGGGUUCUGAGCCCACACUGUCACUUUUAGAGUUUCUUGUGGGUUUAUAGAUUUAUUGUGUGUUGUUUCAAGCUGGUUUUCUUUUUUUUUUUUGAAAUUAAGUAACUUAAAAAGAUUAAGUGAUUAAUAUUCCUGUUGCUGUGUCAGGGAUCGCCAAGCCUUCUCUCAGGCUUGAUGAUUCACCAAAAGGACUCAGAAGAGCUGUUAUACUCACAGCUGUGGUUUUUUUUUUUUUUUUUUUUACCGCAAAAAGGAUACAGAUUAAAAUUAGCAAAGGGAAGGGUGCAUGGAGGGAAGUCCAGAGGAAACUAGGCACAAGCUUUGGUGUCUCUCCCUAGUGGCGUCACGUGGAUGUGCUUAGCUCUCCCAGCAACAGUGGGUCACAUCAUGUGUGAAGAAUUGUUAACCAGGCCAGCGCACCUGAACCUCGAGUCUAGAGAUUUUGUUGGGGGCCAGUCACAUACGCAGGCAGUGCCCAUGUGACUGACCUCAAUUACUUACACUCCAGUGCCCCAGUGCAAAAACAAGUGGUCCCUCGCAAGUCACAUCAUUAGCAUAAACUGCCUGGCCAGACCACUGCCACAAGGUCCUGGGUGUCAGGUAUACCAAAAAACUUAUCAGGCAGGAUGUUCCAAGGCCUCAGAGCUCAGCUCCUAGAAGAAGGACCAAUCCUGAAGAGACCGACCUUCCUUGGGAAUUUGCAGUGUUUGAGCAACCCCGGCCUGCUAUGUUAGCUCUUUACUGCCCAGGUAUAUUAUCAUGUUGCUUAUUUUUUAUAUUAUAUGCUGAGGAGAUUUAGACCAAAAAUUUUAAAAGAG